This 502-nucleotide ribosomal RNA is filed under the name uncultured bacterium. Its description in RNAcentral is "partial 16S ribosomal RNA". It matches the Rfam family "Bacterial small subunit ribosomal RNA", at positions 28 to 523 of the family's 1533-position model. The record is from RNAcentral.
GAUGAACGCUAGCGGCAGGCUUAAUACAUGCAAGUCGAGGGGCAGCGCGGGUAGCAAUACCUGGCGGCGACCGGCAAACGGGUGCGGAACACGUACGCAACCUUCCCAUAACUGGUGAAUAGCCCUCCGACAGGAGGAUUAAUACACCGUAACAUAACGAAGAGGCCUCUUUUUGUUAUUAUAGUAGCAAUACGGUUUUGGCUGGGCGUGCGCCUGAUUAGGUAGUUGGCGGGGUAACGGCCCACCAAGCCUGCGAUCAGGAACUGGUGUGAGAGCACGACCAGUCACACGGGCACUGAGACACGGGCCCGACUCCUACGGGAGGCAGCAGUAAGGAAUAUUGGUCAAUGGACGAAAGUCUGAACCAGCCAUGCCGCGUGAAGGAUUAAGGCCCUCUGGGUUGUAAACUUCUUUUAUCUGGGACGAAAAAAGGGCAUUCUUGCUCACUUGACGGUACCAGAGGAAUAAGCACCGGCUAACUCCGUGCCAGCCGCCGCCGUAA